This 254-nucleotide ribosomal RNA is filed under the name Staphylococcus hyicus. Its description in RNAcentral is "partial 16S ribosomal RNA". It matches the Rfam family "Bacterial small subunit ribosomal RNA", at positions 1 to 244 of the family's 1533-position model. Lineage: Bacteria; Bacillati; Bacillota; Bacilli; Caryophanales; Staphylococcaceae. The record is from RNAcentral.
UUUAUGGAGAGUUUGAUCCUGGCUCAGGAUGAACGCUGGCGGCGUGCCUAAUACAUGCAAGUCGAGCGAACAGAUGAGGAGCUUGCUCCUUUGAUGUUAGCGGCGGACGGGUGAGUAACACGUGGGUAACCUACCUAUAAGACUGGAAUAACUCCGGGAAACCGGGGCUAAUGCCGGAUAACAUGUUGAACCGCAUGGUUCAACAGUGAAAGACGGUCUUGCUGUCACUUAUAGAUGGACCCGCGCCGUAUUAG